This 323-nucleotide ribosomal RNA is filed under the name uncultured Flavobacteriaceae bacterium. RNAcentral describes it as "bacterial SSU rRNA". It matches the Rfam family "Bacterial small subunit ribosomal RNA", at positions 152 to 473 of the family's 1533-position model. The record is from RNAcentral. Lineage: Bacteria; Pseudomonadati; Bacteroidota; Flavobacteriia; Flavobacteriales; Flavobacteriaceae.
AGAAAUUUGGAUUAAUACCCUAUAUUAUCUUCUUUUCGCAUGAAAUAGAGAUGAAAGUUUCGACGGUAAGAGAUGGGCAUGCGUCCUAUUAGUUUGUUGGUAAGGUAACGGCUUACCAAGACUUCGAUAGGUAGGGGCCCUGAGAGGGGGACCCCCCACACUGGUACUGAGACACGGACCAGACUCCUACGGGAGGCAGCAGUGAGGAAUAUUGGACAAUGGAGGAAACUCUGAUCCAGCCAUGCCGCGUGCAGGAUGAAUGCCCUAUGGGUUGUAAACUGCUUUUAUACAGGAAGAAACAUUUCCACGUGUGGAAACUUGAC